Non-coding RNA from Schizosaccharomyces pombe (fission yeast), 609 nucleotides. The record is from the annotation of a GenBank genome assembly. Lineage: Eukaryota; Fungi; Ascomycota; Schizosaccharomycetes; Schizosaccharomycetales; Schizosaccharomycetaceae.
UGAGACAACUGCCCAGAUUUGAUAAUUUUUACAUCUUCAAGAGGCUUAUCACGGUUGUCAGUCUCAGCUUUGGAAAUUUUCUUGACAAUAUCGUAACCAGAAAGGACUGAUAAAAUUAGUAUUAGCAAACAAAAAAAAGGAAAAAGAAAACAAAUAGUCACUUUUAUAAAACAUAUACAACUACAAUAUGAAUUCUUACCUUCACCAAAAACAACAUGGUGUCCAUCUAACCAAGGUGUUUUAACUGUAGUAAUGAAAAACUGAGAUCCAUUGGAAUCGGGUCCAGCGUUAGCCAUGCUAAGCAAACCGGGACGUUGGUGAGAAAGCUUAAAGUUUUCAUCAGGAAAACGGCUGCCAUAAAUUGAUUUUCCACCAGUACCAUCACCCUUCGUAAUAUCACCACCUUGAAUCAUGAAAUUGGGAAUAACGCGAUGGAAAAUAGAUCCUUCAUAUCCAAAUCCCUUUUCUCCGGUGGCUAAUGCGCGGAAAUUUUCGGCUGUUUUGGGAACAGUUUUACCAAACAAUCCAAUGGUAACUCUUCCAAGGAACUCAUCACCUUGUUGCAAGUCGAAAUACACUGUGUCUGUAACUUUGGGGCCACGGUUGGCA